This 292-nucleotide ribosomal RNA is filed under the name uncultured Acidobacteriota bacterium. RNAcentral's name for it is "uncultured Acidobacteria bacterium partial 16S ribosomal RNA". Lineage: Bacteria; Pseudomonadati; Acidobacteriota. The record is from RNAcentral.
GGACUACUGGGGUUUCUAAUCCUGUUUGCUCCCCUAGCUUUCGUUCCUCAGCGUCAGUUGUGAUCCAGCUCGCCGCUUUCGCCACGGGUGUUCCUGCAGAUAUCUACGCAUUUCACCGCUACACCUGCAAUUCCACGAGCCUCUCUCACACUCAAGCACAGCAGUUUCGGAAGCAGCCUCUAGGUUGAGCCUAGAGAUUUCACUCCCGACUUGCCACACCGCCUACGAACCCUUUACACCCAGUAAUUCCGAACAACGCUGGCCCCCUACGUCUUACCGCGGCUGCUGGCAC